RNAcentral lists this ribosomal RNA (768 nucleotides) under Triticum aestivum (bread wheat). RNAcentral describes it as "partial small subunit ribosomal RNA". Lineage: Eukaryota; Viridiplantae; Streptophyta; Magnoliopsida; Poales; Poaceae. The record is from RNAcentral.
AUGAGCCAAGAUGCCGAGGACAGAAUCAGUGCGCUCCCUAGGGACAUCCUUAUCCGAAUCCUUGAACUCCUUCCGGUGCGCAGUGCGAUUCGGACCGGAUCGCUCUCCAAACGGUGGAGACACCUCCCUCACCAGCUCUCUUGUCUGCUCAUAGGUGUAUCUGACAUUCAGAGCGCUAGCUACGUCACGCUGGGUCAGAUCAUGGGGGCGUACACGGAGACGACGAGGAGAUUGCUAUCGUCCACGUGCGAAUGCGGCGGCCGUUCCAUCAAGAGCCUGAGACUUACCUUUUACCUUUCAAAACUUUUCUUGUGCCCUAUUGGCCAUGCCGUCGGGGAUGUGGCCAGGAACGGCGACACUGAAUGCCUCGAGUUUGUGAUAUUCACGCAUCUUGCGAGACCAAGCAAUGCUCAACUUGUCUUGUUUGGACAGCGGUUCAUGUCCUUCUUCCACUCUUGCCCUGUCGCCUUCAGAUGGCUCACAAGACUAACUCUCCACAACCUUGCAUUUGGAGACUCGGAUGUCCCCAAUCUCCUCAAUGCUUGCGAUAAGCUUCAGUUCCUUAACUUGAGAUGCUGCAAAUUGGGUCCGAAAUCUGUCCUCAGCAUAGACGCCCUGUCAUCAGAGCUCCAGAAACUUGAAUUGUUUUGCUUUGAGUGUGUGCGGGUUGAUCUAGCAAGUCUUCCUAAGCUGAAGCAAGUGCUCUGUGAUACUUGGUGGGCUGUGACCACACCUAUGUCGAUCUUGUGGCUUUGUUCCCCAACUUGA